This 164-nucleotide small nuclear RNA is filed under the name Chinchilla lanigera (long-tailed chinchilla). RNAcentral's name for it is "U1 spliceosomal RNA (ENSCLAG00000018465.1)". It matches the Rfam family "U1 spliceosomal RNA". Rfam says of the family: U1 is a small nuclear RNA (snRNA) component of the spliceosome (involved in pre-mRNA splicing). Its 5' end forms complementary base pairs with the 5' splice junction, thus defining the 5' donor site of an intron. Lineage: Eukaryota; Metazoa; Chordata; Mammalia; Rodentia; Chinchillidae. The record is from Rfam by way of RNAcentral.
AUACUUACCUGGCAGGGGAGAUACCAUGAUCACGAAGGUGGUUUCCCCAGGGCGAGGCUUAUCCAUUGCACUCCGGAUGUGCUGACCCCUGCGAUUUCCCCAAAUGUGGGAAACUCGACUGCAUAAUUUGUGGUAGUGGGGGACUGCGUUUGCGCUCUCCCCUG